Long non-coding RNA from Alligator mississippiensis (American alligator), 466 nucleotides. RefSeq lists it as uncharacterized. The transcript is spliced from 3 exons. The record is from RefSeq and is a predicted model, not a curated record. Lineage: Eukaryota; Metazoa; Chordata; Crocodylia; Alligatoridae.
AGGAUCUUUGCCAGCCUAAUCCAUUUGGCACCGGUGAACUAGGGGGAGGCCUGGCUACUUUUCACUGUACGUAUCCUGUAUGUUGGCAUGAUGGGAGGAGCACAGCUGUGAUGCUGCCAUUUCCUUUAUUUUUUCCAAUGGAACGAAAGGUUCUCAUCAAGGAUUCACAAUUUUAAAUGACCACAAAACCAGGGCGAGGAACUUGAUCUAAAGUUUGCCCAAGAAGUAACAGAGGCUGCGCGGGCACGGGACAUAGUAAUCAUGGGCAACUGCUUGCCAAGCACAGGUAAGCAAUAAGCAGGUAAGCAAUAAGGGGCCCUUUGGGAAUCGGAGCUGGGGGGCAAAAAAGGCACCAGUCACAGGGCUCAAGUGCCUAUAUACUAAUGCUAGGAGCAUGGGGAACAAGCAGGAUGAAUUAGCACUCUUGCUUGCAGAAAAUACCUACAACUUAGUAGGGCUAUCUGAA